Toxorhynchites rutilus septentrionalis is the source of this 755-nucleotide long non-coding RNA. RefSeq lists it as uncharacterized. The record is from RefSeq and is a predicted model, not a curated record. The transcript has 3 exons. NCBI's taxonomy places the organism in Eukaryota, Metazoa, Arthropoda, Insecta, Diptera, Culicidae.
UGAAUAUCUGUCUGAUCUGAGGAUCGAAAAGUGUGGUCGCCCAUUCCGACUUUGUCCGUGGAAGAAGGCGGAAGCGGUUAGUGAUUUUGUACCGCGUGUUACCCGUGUUGAAGUGAGAUUAGAAAACUAGUAGUGCGAAUUAAUUGAUACGCUGAAGAAGUUAGAUACUCUCCAGUGCACCAGCAAACCUAAUUGGAGAAAAAGCCGCUUACUGACCCCACGUGCGAGGUCUGGAAGUUACCAUCAUACUCGUCAAUUCUGGUGGCCGCGCGGUGCGCUUACGCAAGACGGCACUCGCGCCAAAAGGGGAAACAGCACACAGUACGCAGCACGGAGCCAUCACUCGUCCGUGUGCGUACUCGAGAUUCAUUGUCCCGUUCAACGUCUGCAGCGAACGACGGUAAAGCAGAACCACGUAAAACCUAGGUCGUGAGUACAAAUCUAUUUAUUUCCGUAACUAAUACAUGCGCAUGUAGGGAAUAAAUAGAGACAGAAGAACCACACAACUAAUAAAUGCCACACAACAAUGCCACACUAGAUUUUGUACAGUGUUCUUACCGACAGUGAGCGCAAGCCCGUCGGCAGAAAGAAAAGCCUGAAUGAGAUGAGGCGAUAGAGUAGUUAGGAAACGUGCCGUUCAGAGAAUCGAUGGGUCAGAGGAUCGAAACCCAAAUUACCCAAUAAAAUGUUUAUAUAGAUGUUUAAGGAAAAUAAUGUUCGUAAUUUAUGCUGUCUCGAAUAUAUCUAAAAUAAAU